Molecule: ribosomal RNA, 253 nt
Filed under: uncultured bacterium
Lineage: Bacteria
Description: partial 16S ribosomal RNA
Rfam family: Bacterial small subunit ribosomal RNA
Source: RNAcentral
UACAGAGGGGGCUAGCGUUGUUCGGAAUCACUGGGCGUAAAGCGCGUGUAGGCGGCUUGCCAAGUCAGAUGUGAAAGCCUGGGGCUUAACCUCAGAAUUGCAUUUGAAACUGGCUUGCUCGAGUAUGGUAGGGGAUAGCGGAAUUCCUAGUGGAGAGGUGAAAUUCGUAGAUAUUAGGAGGAACACCGGUGGCGAAGGCGGCUAUCUGGACCAUUACUGGCGCUGAGACGCGAAAGCGUGGGGAGCAAACAGG